This 100-nucleotide vault RNA is filed under the name Myotis davidii. It matches the Rfam family "Vault RNA". From Rfam's summary of the family: This family of RNAs are found as part of the enigmatic vault ribonucleoprotein complex. The complex consists of a major vault protein (MVP), two minor vault proteins (VPARP and TEP1), and several small untranslated RNA molecules. The record is from Rfam by way of RNAcentral. Lineage: Eukaryota; Metazoa; Chordata; Mammalia; Chiroptera; Vespertilionidae.
GGGCUGGCUUUAGCUCAAUUUGAAUACAAUGCUUGCCAAUCACUCUUGCCCACCUGCAUAAGAGUUGGAUCGAGACUCGUGGGCGCUUUCCAGCCCUUUA